This is a non-coding RNA of Prunus mume (Japanese apricot), 551 nucleotides long. NCBI's taxonomy places the organism in Eukaryota, Viridiplantae, Streptophyta, Magnoliopsida, Rosales, Rosaceae. The record is from RefSeq and is a predicted model, not a curated record.
AUUCAUUUCACGACCUCCAGUCUUUCAUCUUCAUCUUCAACCCCAAUUUUCAGUUUUUGUUCUUCCACCUCAGUUUUUGUUCAACUUCAUCAUUCUAAGUUUCGUUAGAGAGCUCGCCUGGGCCACAGACAAUGAUGCGCUGGAGAAAGCCUUUUCUCCGUUCGAACAUCAACAACCGUGAGAUCUAGAGGUCCAAGGGCUUCAGCUUUGGCUUCGUCACCUUCAGCAAUGAGAAGGCCAUGAGAGAUGCAAUCGAAGGCAUGAACGACCAGAACCUCGACGGUCGUAACAUCACCGUCAACGAAGCUCAGUCUUGUGGAAGCGGCGGUGGUGGUAACAGAGGUUACAACUGCAGAGGUGGCAGCGGAGCAUUGCGUAUUUGAUUUGGUGAACAACCUUAGUACCAUUGCAAGGGUAGCACCAAGGAAUUUAUAGAAGUCUUAGCUACUGGUAGUUGAUUUUGAAAUGAUGUAGUUGAUUUUGAGUGGUAUGGAGUUGUAAACAUUUAUCGCUCCUAUUAUGAAAAUAAAAUGAUGUAGUUGUUAACUUCC